AUUUAAAAUUUAAUCACAAUAAAUAUUUUGAUGAACUUUAUUUAAUAUUAAAUAACAUUUGUAAGAUAAUAUAAAAAGUUAAGUAAAUAUAAUGAAUUUAAGUAAUGUUAUGUGACAUUUUAUUUAUUGAAUUAAUAAUAUUGAGAAUCUUAAGUGAAGUAAGUAUAAUGAAUCUAACUAAUGUUAUUUUAAAUAGCCUAUGAAAAUUUUAACUGUAACGGAAAAAAAUAAUAUUUGUCUAAACAUAAGAUAAUAGUGGUGAUUAAUAUUUAAAAAAGUAAUGGAUAAAUAAAUUUGUUAAUUUCUUUUGAUUGAUUAAAAUAAUUUAAAACUCAUAAAUAAACUAUGGCUUGGGUCUAUCACUUUGUUCUCUUACUUAACAUCUUUUAGAGAGAGCAGGUGUAAAUUUCCAAUCUUGUUUUUAUAUCAGAAUUAUUCUCCAGUAUAUCCUGUAUUUUUUGGUGUGAUACAUUUUUUGUCUAUCGGAUUUUGUCUUCCGCUUGUAUGAUUUACUUUUCAUUCCAGAUGUUUUUCGUUUUCGUUCACUGUUAUUCUUCAUUCAAUUGAAAUCCUCUAUUUAUUGAUUCCUUGUUCAUGAAGAUUAUGCGAUUCUUUGAUUUGAAUAUUAUUAAAGAAAAUACAUUUGAUGUUGAUUUCUAAUUUAUUUUUAAAAUACAUUUUUUAAAUUUAUUUUGAAGAGUGUAUUUUAGUUUGUGUUCUUGCAAGUUAAAAUCGUGUAUUCUUUAUAUUUUAUUCUAUUUUAGUUAUUUGUUUUGUUAAAUUUCCAAAUAUUUAUUAUAUAUAUGAGUCAAUUCCAUUUUAAUGAUUUAUUUAUUAGUUUGCCUUAUUUGAUGUCGAAUUCUAUUUUGUAUUGAAAUAAUCAGUUUUGGAAAUUCUAACAUUUUAAAAAGAGUAAACUAUAAUUAUGAUUUUUCAUAUUUUGAUUGGUUGUUUAUAAUCCUAUGUGUAUAUUCUCAAUGACUUAUAUCCUCAACUUUUAUAUAGUAAAUAAAAUGAUAAUUUAGCUUAUUUUGAUAUUUUAAAAUAAUAUAUGAAUAUUCUCAAUGAUUUAUCGCCUCAACGUAUAUAUAAUAUAUGUUAUUUGUGAAUAUUUUCAAUAACAUAUAUCCUAAACUUUGAAAAUCAUAAUUUAAAUUUAUUUACUUAUAAUUGUUUAAAAGCUUUGUAUUUUUUUUUUAAAAAGCAAUUCUUAUUUUGUAUUUUCUUUUAAUGUUAAAUUUUGAAAAUUAUUAGGGAAAAUUUUACUUUUACACUUUCUUUGGUACCACGUUUCAAGUAUACCAUUGGAGACAUUUUCAUAGAUACACUUUUCAUUAAUGACCAAAAGACCAUACUAGCUCUAACCUUAUCUCUCUAGCGAUCCUCUUUUCUUCCUCUCUCUCUCUCGCGAUCUUUUUUCUUCCUCUCUGCCUCCGAUUCACCGGAGAUCCACCGUCUCUCUCUCAUUCCACCGGUUCUCUGCGGUUCACACUGUCGACUCCUACUUCUGUACAAGAUUCCCAACUGUUCCUGAGAAGCUGUGUUCAAGCUUAUAUGAGAGCCACAACCCUGCCAGCACACAUUUGCUUCGAUAUACAAUGAAUCUGUUCCCUUUAGCGAACUAAUCUCCUAUGAUUCCUUGAUUGCGAAACCUCUAUUUCUCAGUUGUUGAUUUUGUUCCAUUUACUUUUUUACUUGCUCUCUCUCUCACAUACAAAGACCAUAGCUUUUCCACAAGUUUUGUGGCAGAAAAUUUUCAGGCUUUCUAUAUCAGAUUUUGAGUGUUUGGUUACUUUAACAGCCUGCUUGUGCUGAUGGAUCUGGAAACUGAAAAUCGAAUAGCUUCGGUUCUGUUGAGAGAAGCAGCAGAGUUGAGGAGACAAGCUGAAAAAGAUGGUGCCCGAGCUUAUAUUGAGAAGCCUAAUGUAAGGCAUCGACCUAACUCGAGGUUUCUCACAGCAACUGUCCUUGGUGUUCAACAAUAGCGGUAGAAACCAAUGAGAUGUGGUAGGCUCAGGAGCAAGAAAACGAAAGGCUCAAAAGAAAAUCAAGAGAGGAAAGCAGCAGCAGCAGCAGCAGUAGCCAAAUGAAGCAGAGUAGUAGUUUCUCGAAAAGGAGUUUGGAUAAGAGAUGUAGCUCCAUUAAUGAGGAGAGAAAGAUCACUCAUCAAUCAUCAUUGGACAAAAGAUUGUACUUGGAUGAUGAUGAUGAAGGUUUAGGAGAUGAUGAGAUUGAGUCUUUUCUCCAAUCACGGAACAAACGUGGGAGAGGCUCUGUUGGUCCUAGGAUGGAUGAAACUGUCCCUUAUCUUCCCACCGAGAAGGUUGAUCAAUUGCAAAGUUCUGAUACAAGGGAAAGGAAGAGGUUCGUGGGGAUAUUGAGUUUGCUGUAUAUCGUUGCGUUCUUAGCGAGUGUCUCAAAGAAGAAUGGGGAGUGUUGGAGAAGUCUCCGGAGGCGGCUUUAAAUGUGGAUCAGACGAUCUUCGUGGCUGUGGCGGAAGACGUGGAGAGGAGCAAAACGACUGUGUUAUGGGCGGCAAGAAACUUCUCCAGCAAGAAGAUUUGCUUGCUUUACGUCCAUCGUCCUGCUCGGCCUGCCUCCUGCAGUGAGAAUCUUCUGCUUCUCUUUCUCUCUGACUUAACUGUUUUGUGGUGAAUUAUAGAAUAUUUCUGGAUGUUGAAUUGUUCUUGAGUGUAGAUUUGCUCAUGAAUCAUGAUUGAACCUUACCGAGUUUAUAUAUAUAUCCUUUAGUUGAUUGUGGAUGAUGUUAAUGAUGUACCUCUGUUUGCUAAGAAAAUCUGAGAAAUGAUAUAAUUGUUUUAUAAA
RNA transcript from Brassica napus (rape), 2826 nucleotides. RefSeq lists it as uncharacterized. The record is from RefSeq and is a predicted model, not a curated record. Lineage: Eukaryota; Viridiplantae; Streptophyta; Magnoliopsida; Brassicales; Brassicaceae. The transcript has 6 exons.